This 254-nucleotide ribosomal RNA is filed under the name uncultured prokaryote. Its description in RNAcentral is "partial 16S ribosomal RNA". It matches the Rfam family "Bacterial small subunit ribosomal RNA", at positions 524 to 777 of the family's 1533-position model. The record is from RNAcentral.
UACGGAGGAUGCAAGCGUUAUCCGGAUUUAUUGGGUUUAAAGGGUGCGCAGGUUGUUUGAUAAGUCGGUGGUGAAAGUCUGUCGCUUAACGGUAGGAUUGCCAUUGAUACUGUUAGACUUGAAUAUGGAUGAGGUAGGCGGAAUGUGUAGUGUAGCGGUGAAAUGCAUAGAUAUUACACAGAACACCGAUUGCGAAGGCAGCUUACUAAUCCAUCAUUGACGCUGAGGCACGAAAGCGUGGGGAUCAAACAGGA